This 119-nucleotide ribosomal RNA is filed under the name Neogale vison (American mink). The record is from RNAcentral. Lineage: Eukaryota; Metazoa; Chordata; Mammalia; Carnivora; Mustelidae.
GUCUAGGGCCAUACCACCCUGAACGCGCCCGAUCUCAUCUGAUCUCGGAAGCUAAGCAGGGUCGGGCCUGGUUAGUACUUGGAUGGGAGACAAUAUUUAUGAAGGGGUUAAUAUUAUCC